RNAcentral lists this ribosomal RNA (498 nucleotides) under uncultured bacterium. RNAcentral describes it as "partial 16S ribosomal RNA". It matches the Rfam family "Bacterial small subunit ribosomal RNA", at positions 30 to 523 of the family's 1533-position model. The record is from RNAcentral.
AUUGAACGCUGGCGGCAUGCCUUACACAUGCAAGUCGAACGGUAACAGGUCUUCGGAUGCUGACGAGUGGCGAACGGGUGAGUAAUACAUCGGAACGUGCCCGAUCGUGGGGGAUAACGAAGCGAAAGCUUUGCUAAUACAGCAUAAGAACUAAGGAUGAAAGCAGGGGACCGCAAGGCCUUGCGCGAACGGAGCGGCCGAUGGCAGAUUAGGUAGUUGGUGGGAUAAAAGCUUACCAGGCCGACGAUCUGUAGCUGGUCUGAGAGGACGACCAGCCACACUGGGACUGAGACACGGCCCAGACUCCUACGGGAGGCAGCAGUGGGGAAUUUUGGACAAUGGGCGAAAGCCUGAUCCAGCCAUGCCGCGUGCAGGAUGAAGGCCUUCGGGUUGUAAACUGCUUUUGUACGGAACGAAAAGACUCUUUCUAAUAAAGAGGGUCCAUGACGGUACCGUAAGAAUAAGCACCGGCUAACUACGUGCCAGCCGCCGCCGUAA